RNAcentral lists this unclassified non-coding RNA (430 nucleotides) under Hevea brasiliensis (rubber tree). Lineage: Eukaryota; Viridiplantae; Streptophyta; Magnoliopsida; Malpighiales; Euphorbiaceae. The record is from RNAcentral.
AAGCUCAACAGCGGCGAGCCCGACGCCGCCGCCCGCGCCAUGCACAAGCAGCACCUCGCCCGGCUUGAUCUGCGCGCGAUCAUGCAGCGCAUGCCAGGCCGUGCCGUGCGCGGCGAAGAAGGCCGCGCCCUGCGCGUAGUCGAACGCCGCAGGCAGCGGCAGGAGCUGAUCGGGCGUUACAACAAUCUCGUCGGCAUAGCAGCCGAACCGCGCCUUNNNNNNGACCUUGUCGCCGACAUUGAUGCCAUCUGCACCCGCGAUCUCGAUCACCUCGCCGCCCGCUUCCAUCCCCGGCGUGAACGGCAGGGGGGGGGGNNNNNNNNNNNNNCCCGCCGCCAUCAGGAUGUCGGGGAAAUUCAGUCCGGCCGCGUGGAUCGCGAUGCGCACCUGACCCGGCUCUAGCGCGGCACGUGGGACAUCUUCCAGUUUG